This 266-nucleotide ribosomal RNA is filed under the name uncultured soil bacterium. Its description in RNAcentral is "partial 16S ribosomal RNA". It matches the Rfam family "Bacterial small subunit ribosomal RNA", at positions 26 to 295 of the family's 1533-position model. The record is from RNAcentral.
AGAUUGAACGCUGGCGGCAUGCCUUACACAUGCAAGUCGAACGGCAGCACGGGAGCAAUCCUGGUGGCGAGUGGCGAACGGGUGAGUAAUACAUCGGAACGUGCCCAAUCGUGGGGGAUAACGCAGCGAAAGCUGUGCUAAUACCGCAUAAGAUCUACGGAUGAAAGCAGGGGAUCGCAAGACCUUGCGCGAAUGGAGCGGCCGAUGGCAGAUUAGGUAGUUGGUGAGGUAAAGGCUCACCAAGCCUUCGAUCUGUAGCUGUCUGA